AUUUUCAUCCCAGAAUAGAAGGACGCAGAAAACAUUUCACAUUUUCACAUUUUCAUUUAAAUGAUACAACCAAAGUCCUAUUUUCUGAAAGGGAGACCAGAAAGUGUUAGGAAAACUUUCCUCAGUGAGACAUAAUCAGCCACCCACCUGUCAGAUCAUUUCCUGCUCUGAAACAGAAGUGCCGCGGAGCACAGAACACCCAGCUGAGAGCCAGAGCCUCUUCUCACCAUGCAGGGGACAGCUGUCAGCAUGCCGCUGGCCCGUGUGCUGUGGGCAGUCGUGGUGUCCACCUGUCUUGGAUCCAGCAUGGCCCAGAAGGUCACCCAGACUCAACCAGAAAUGUCUGUGCACGAGGCAGAGACCGUGACCCUGGACUGCACGUUUGACACUCGUGUCAGUAAUUAUUAUUUGUUCUGGUACAAACAGCCUCCCAGUGGGGAGAUGGUUCUCAUUAUUCGCCAAGAAGCUAAUAAGCAAGAGAAUGCGACAAAUAAUCGCUUCUCUGUGAACUUCCAGAAGGCAGACAAAUCCUUCAGUCUCAGGAUCUCAGCCGCCCAGCUGGGGGAUGCUGCGAUGUAUUUGUGUGCUCUCAUGGAGGGCACAGUGACAGGAGCAACAGAGAGAGGUUUACAGAAACCUCAAACCCCAGCAUCUGUGCAGAGGUCGGGGUGGGAGGAGUGACUAGGGCACCAGGAACAUAGAAAA
This is a non-coding RNA of Lynx canadensis (Canada lynx), 705 nucleotides long. The record is from the annotation of a RefSeq genome assembly. NCBI's taxonomy places the organism in Eukaryota, Metazoa, Chordata, Mammalia, Carnivora, Felidae.